This 450-nucleotide ribosomal RNA is filed under the name uncultured Glomeromycotina. RNAcentral describes it as "SSU rRNA". It matches the Rfam family "Eukaryotic small subunit ribosomal RNA", at positions 569 to 1023 of the family's 1831-position model. Lineage: Eukaryota; Fungi; Glomeromycota. The record is from RNAcentral.
AGCAGCCGCGGUAAUUCCAGCUCCAAUAGCGUAUAUUAAAGUUGUUGCAGUUAAAAAGCUCGUAGUUGAAUUUCGGGGUCAGUAGAUUGGUCAUGCCUCCGGUAUGCACUGGUCUUACUGGCUCCUCCUUCCUGAUGAACCGUAAUGCCAUUAAUUUGGUGUUGCGGGGAGACUGGACUGUUACUUUGAAAAAAUUAGAGUGUUUAAAGCAGGCUAACGCUUGAAUACAUUAGCAUGGAAUAAUGAAAUAGGACGUUCGAUCUUAUUUUGUUGGUUUCUAAGAUUGACGUAAUGAUUAAUAGGGAUAGUUGGGGGCAUUAGUAUUCAAUUGUCAGAGGUGAAAUUCUUGGAUUUAUUGAAGACUAACUACCGCGAAAGCAUUUGCCAAGGAUGUUUUCAUUAAUCAAGAACGAAAGUUAGGGGAUCGAAGACGAUCAGAUACCGUCGUAG